This 73-nucleotide transfer RNA is filed under the name Clytia hemisphaerica. Its description in RNAcentral is "tRNA-Val for anticodon AAC". The record is from RNAcentral. Lineage: Eukaryota; Metazoa; Cnidaria; Hydrozoa; Leptothecata; Clytiidae.
GAUUCCGUAAUGCAGUGGUUAUCACGUGUGCCUAACACGCACAAGGUCCCUGGUUCGAGCCCGGGCAGAAUCA